Non-coding RNA from Pangasius djambal, 69 nucleotides. NCBI's taxonomy places the organism in Eukaryota, Metazoa, Chordata, Actinopteri, Siluriformes, Pangasiidae. The record is from the annotation of a GenBank genome assembly.
GUGGUAGCUCAGUGGUUAAGACAUCAGACUUUUGAUUGGAAGGUCAUGAGUUUAAAUCCCAGUACCACC